CAAAACUUUCAACAACGGAUCUCUUGGCUCUGGCAUCGAUGAAGAACGCAGCAAAAUGCGAUAAGUAAUGUGAAUUGCAGAAUUCAGUGAAUCAUCGAAUCUUUGAACGCACAUUGCGCCCGCCAGUAUUCUGGCGGGCAUGCCUGUUCGAGCGUCAU
This 158-nucleotide ribosomal RNA is filed under the name Fusarium sp. 02TRU712. Its description in RNAcentral is "5.8S ribosomal RNA". It matches the Rfam family "5.8S ribosomal RNA". Rfam says of the family: 5.8S ribosomal RNA (5.8S rRNA) is a component of the large subunit of the eukaryotic ribosome. Lineage: Eukaryota; Fungi; Ascomycota; Sordariomycetes; Hypocreales; Nectriaceae. The record is from RNAcentral.